UAAUUUAUUUUAGAUUUAUAAUAAUUUUUAUUAAUAAUUAAAUAAUAAAAAUUAAUAAAUUUGGCAGUAUUUUUUAAAAUUAGAGGAUUAUGUUAUGUAAUAGAUAAUACACUAUAAAAUAUAUUUAAUUUAAUAUUUAUUGUAUAUCGUUGUUUUAAAUUAAUUUUUGAAAAUAUUAAUAAAAAUUUUAAAAAAAAAUAAAUCAAAUCAACAUACAUAUUAUAAUUAAAAUUUAAAUGUAAUACAUUUAUUUGAAUUUAAUGGAUUAAAUUUUUUAAAAAAUUUAAUAAAAUUGGAUUUAAAAGUAAUUAUUUAAAAUAUAUUAUUUUUGAAUUAUAUUAAAAAUAUGU
This 350-nucleotide ribosomal RNA is filed under the name Mikiola fagi. RNAcentral describes it as "partial 12S ribosomal RNA". Lineage: Eukaryota; Metazoa; Arthropoda; Insecta; Diptera; Cecidomyiidae. The record is from RNAcentral.